RNAcentral lists this non-coding RNA (24 nucleotides) under Oryctolagus cuniculus (rabbit). RNAcentral also lists the same sequence under 1 other name. Lineage: Eukaryota; Metazoa; Chordata; Mammalia; Lagomorpha; Leporidae. The record is from RNAcentral.
UCAUAGAUCUUCUCUCUGACAGGC